RNAcentral lists this ribosomal RNA (253 nucleotides) under uncultured bacterium. RNAcentral's name for it is "partial 16S ribosomal RNA". It matches the Rfam family "Bacterial small subunit ribosomal RNA", at positions 524 to 776 of the family's 1533-position model. The record is from RNAcentral.
UACGGAGGGUGCAAGCGUUAGUCGGAAUUACUGGGCGUAAAGCGCACGCAGGCGGUUGGUUAAGUUAGAUGUGAAAUCCCCGGGCUUAACCUGGGAAUUGCAUUUAAAACUGGUCGGCUAGAGUAUUGUAGAGGGGGGUAGAAUUCCAGGUGUAGCGGUGAAAUGCGUAGAGAUCUGGAGGAAUACCGGUGGCGAAGGCGGCCCCCUGGACAAAGACUGACGCUCAGGUGCGAAAGCGUGGGGAGCAAACAGG